AUUGAACGCUGGCGGCAUGCCUUACACAUGCAAGUCGAACGGCAGCGGGCCCUUCGGGGUGCCGGCGAGUGGCGAACGGGUGAGUAAUGCAUCGGAACGUACCCGGGAGAGGGGGAUAACCGGCCGAAAGGCUGGCUAAUACCGCAUGAACUCGGAAGAGCAAAGCGGGGGACCUUCGGGCCUCGCGCUCUCGGAGCGGCCGAUGUCCGAUUAGGCUAGUUGGUGGGGUAAAGGCCCACCAAGGCGACGAUCGGUAGCGGGUCUGAGAGGACGAUCCGCCACACUGGGACUGAGACACGGCCCAGACUCCUACGGGAGGCAGCAGUGGGGAAUCUUGGACAAUGGGCGCAAGCCUGAUCCAGCAAUGCCGCGUGGGUGAAGAAGGCCUUCGGGUUGUAAAGCCCUUUCGGCGGGGAAGAAAUCGGUCAGGCGAAUAGUCUGGCCGGAUGACGGUACCCGCAGAAGAAGCACCGGCUAACUACGU
RNAcentral lists this ribosomal RNA (484 nucleotides) under uncultured bacterium. RNAcentral's name for it is "partial 16S ribosomal RNA". It matches the Rfam family "Bacterial small subunit ribosomal RNA", at positions 28 to 506 of the family's 1533-position model. The record is from RNAcentral.